GGUUAAGCGACUAAGCGUACACGGUGGAUGCCCUGGCAGUCAGAGGCGAUGAAGGACGUGCUAAUCUGCGAUAAGCGUCGGUAAGGUGAUAUGAACCGUUAUAACCGGCGAUUUCCGAAUGGGGAAACCCAGUGUGAUUCGUCACACUAUCAUUAACUGAAUCCAUAGGUUAAUGAGGCGAACCGGGGGAACUGAAACAUCUAAGUACCCCGAGGAAAAGAAAUCAACCGAGAUUCCCCCAGUAGCGGCGAGCGAACGGGGAGCAGCCCAGAGCCUGAAUCAGUGUGUGUGUUAGUGGAAGCGUCUGGAAAGGCGCGCGAUACAGGGUGACAGCCCCGUACACAAAAAUGCACAUGCUGUGAGCUCGAUGAGUAGGGCGGGACACGUGGUAUCCUGUCUGAAUAUGGGGGGACCAUCCUCCAAGGCUAAAUACUCCUGACUGACCGAUAGUGAACCAGUACCGUGAGGGAAAGGCGAAAAGAACCCCGGCGAGGGGAGUGAAAAAGAACCUGAAACCGUGUACGUACAAGCAGUGGGAGCCUCUUUAUGGGGUGACUGCGUACCUUUUGUAUAAUGGGUCAGCGACUUAUAUUCUGUAGCAAGGUUAACCGAAUAGGGGAGCCGAAGGGAAACCGAGUCUUAACUGGGCGUUAAGUUGCAGGGUAUAGACCCGAAACCCGGUGAUCUAGCCAUGGGCAGGUUGAAGGUUGGGUAACACUAACUGGAGGACCGAACCGACUAAUGUUGAAAAAUUAGCGGAUGACUUGUGGCUGGGGGUGAAAGGCCAAUCAAACCGGGAGAUAGCUGGUUCUCCCCGAAAGCUAUUUAGGUAGCGCCUCGUGAAUUCAUCUCCGGGGGUAGAGCACUGUUUCGGCAAGGGGGUCAUCCCGACUUACCAACCCGAUGCAAACUGCGAAUACCGGAGAAUGUUAUCACGGGAGACACACGGCGGGUGCUAACGUCCGUCGUGAAGAGGGAAACAACCCAGACCGCCAGCUAAGGUCCCAAAGUCAUGGUUAAGUGGGAAACGAUGUGGGAAGGCCCAGACAGCCAGGAUGUUGGCUUAGAAGCAGCCAUCAUUUAAAGAAAGCGUAAUAGCUCACUGGUCGAGUCGGCCUGCGCGGAAGAUGUAACGGGGCUAAACCAUGCACCGAAGCUGCGGCAGCGACACUAUGUGUUGUUGGGUAGGGGAGCGUUCUGUAAGCCUGCGAAGGUGUACUGUGAGGUAUGCUGGAGGUAUCAGAAGUGCGAAUGCUGACAUAAGUAACGAUAAAGCGGGUGAAAAGCCCGCUCGCCGGAAGACCAAGGGUUCCUGUCCAACGUUAAUCGGGGCAGGGUGAGUCGACCCCUAAGGCGAGGCCGAAAGGCGUAGUCGAUGGGAAACAGGUUAAUAUUCCUGUACUUGGUGUUACUGCGAAGGGGGGACGGAGAAGGCUAUGUUGGCCGGGCGACGGUUGUCCCGGUUUAAGCGUGUAGGCUGGUUUUCCAGGCAAAUCCGGAAAAUCAAGGCUGAGGCGUGAUGACGAGGCACUACGGUGCUGAAGCAACAAAUGCCCUGCUUCCAGGAAAAGCCUCUAAGCAUCAGGUAACAUCAAAUCGUACCCCAAACCGACACAGGUGGUCAGGUAGAGAAUACCAAGGCGCUUGAGAGAACUCGGGUGAAGGAACUAGGCAAAAUGGUGCCGUAACUUCGGGAGAAGGCACGCUGAUACGUAGGUGAAGCGACUUGCUCGUGGAGCUGAAAUCAGUCGAAGAUACCAGCUGGCUGCAACUGUUUAUUAAAAACACAGCACUGUGCAAACACGAAAGUGGACGUAUACGGUGUGACGCCUGCCCGGUGCCGGAAGGUUAAUUGAUGGGGUUAGCGGUAACGCGAAGCUCUUGAUCGAAGCCCCGGUAAACGGCGGCCGUAACUAUAACGGUCCUAAGGUAGCGAAAUUCCUUGUCGGGUAAGUUCCGACCUGCACGAAUGGCGUAAUGAUGGCCAGGCUGUCUCCACCCGAGACUCAGUGAAAUUGAACUCGCUGUGAAGAUGCAGUGUACCCGCGGCAAGACGGAAAGACCCCGUGAACCUUUACUAUAGCUUGACACUGAACAUUGAGCCUUGAUGUGUAGGAUAGGUGGGAGGCUUUGAAGUGUGGACGCCAGUCUGCAUGGAGCCGACCUUGAAAUACCACCCUUUAAUGUUUGAUGUUCUAACGUUGGCCCCUAUCGGGGUUGCGGACAGUGUCUGGUGGGUAGUUUGACUGGGGCGGUCUCCUCCUAAAGAGUAACGGAGGAGCACGAAGGUUGGCUAAUCCUGGUCGGACAUCAGGAGGUUAGUGCAAUGGCAUAAGCCAGCUUGACUGCGAGCGUGACGGCGCGAGCAGGUGCGAAAGCAGGUCAUAGUGAUCCGGUGGUUCUGAAUGGAAGGGCCAUCGCUCAACGGAUAAAAGGUACUCCGGGGAUAACAGGCUGAUACCGCCCAAGAGUUCAUAUCGACGGCGGUGUUUGGCACCUCGAUGUCGGCUCAUCACAUCCUGGGGCUGAAGUAGGUCCCAAGGGUAUGGCUGUUCGCCAUUUAAAGUGGUACGCGAGCUGGGUUUAGAACGUCGUGAGACAGUUCGGUCCCUAUCUGCCGUGGGCGCUGGAGAACUGAGGGGGGCUGCUCCUAGUACGAGAGGACCGGAGUGGACGCAUCACUGGUGUUCGGGUUGUCAUGCCAAUGGCACUGCCCGGUAGCUAAAUGCGGAAGAGAUAAGUGCUGAAAGCAUCUAAGCACGAAACUUGCCCCGAGAUGAGUUCUCCCUGACUCCCUGAGAGUCCUGAAGGAACGUUGAAGACGACGACGUUGAUAGGCCGGGUGUGUAAGCGCAGCGAUGCGUUGAGCUAACCGGUACUAAUGAACCGUGAGGCUUAACCUU
RNAcentral lists this ribosomal RNA (2903 nucleotides) under Escherichia coli. RNAcentral's name for it is "23S ribosomal RNA". It matches the Rfam family "Bacterial large subunit ribosomal RNA". Lineage: Bacteria; Pseudomonadati; Pseudomonadota; Gammaproteobacteria; Enterobacterales; Enterobacteriaceae. The record is from RNAcentral.